This 639-nucleotide ribosomal RNA is filed under the name Trichoderma brevicompactum. Its description in RNAcentral is "eukaryotic LSU rRNA". The stretch from base 258 to 411 matches the Rfam family "5.8S ribosomal RNA". Lineage: Eukaryota; Fungi; Ascomycota; Sordariomycetes; Hypocreales; Hypocreaceae. The record is from RNAcentral.
UGGAAGUAAAAGUCGUAACAAGGUCUCCGUUGGUGAACCAGCGGAGGGAUCAUUACCGAGUUUACAACUCCCAAACCCCAAUGUGAACGUUACCAAACUGUUGCCUCGGCGGGAUUUCUGCCCCGGGCGCGUCGCAGCCCCGGACCAAGGCGCCCGCCGGAGGACCAAUUUACAAACUCUUUUGUAUAUCCCAUCGCGGAUUCUUUACAUUCUGAGCUUUCUCGGCGCUCCUAGCGAGCGUUUCGAAAAUGAAUCAAAACUUUCAACAACGGAUCUCUUGGUUCUGGCAUCGAUGAAGAACGCAGCGAAAUGCGAUAAGUAAUGUGAAUUGCAGAAUUCAGUGAAUCAUCGAAUCUUUGAACGCACAUUGCGCCCGCCAGUAUUCUGGCGGGCAUGCCUGUCCGAGCGUCAUUUCAACCCUCGAACCCCUCCGGGGGGUCGGCGUUGGGGAUCGGCACUUACCUGCCGGCCCCGAAAUACAGUGGCGGUCUCGCCGCAGCCUCUCCUGCGCAGUAGUUUGCACACUCGCACCGGGAGCGCGGCGCGUCCACGGCCGUAAAACAACCCAAACUUCUGAAAUGUUGACCUCGGAUCAGGUAGGAAUACCCGCUGAACUUAAGCAUAUCAAUAAGCGGAGGA